UACGUAGGGGGCAAGCGUUGUCCGGAAUCAUUGGGCGUAAAGAGCGUGUAGGCGGCCUGUUAAGUCUGGUGUGAAAUCUGAGGGCUCAACCCUCAGCGGUCACUGGAAACUGGCAGGCUCGAGUCCGGAAGAGGAGAGUGGAAUUCCUGGUGUAGCGGUGAAAUGCGCAGAUAUCAGGAGGAACACCUGUGGCGAAGGCGGCUCUCUGGUACGUGACUGACGCUGAGACGCGAAAGCGUGGGGAGCGAACAGG
This 253-nucleotide ribosomal RNA is filed under the name uncultured bacterium. RNAcentral's name for it is "partial 16S ribosomal RNA". It matches the Rfam family "Bacterial small subunit ribosomal RNA", at positions 524 to 776 of the family's 1533-position model. The record is from RNAcentral.